AUGGCUCAGGAUGAACGCUGGCGGCGUGCUUAACACAUGCAAGUCGAACGAUGAUCCGGUGCUUGCACCGGGGAUUAGUGGCGAACGGGUGAGUAACACGUGAGUAACCUGCCCUUAACUCUGGGAUAAGCCUGGGAAACUGGGUCUAAUACCGGAUAUGACUCCUCAUCGCAUGGUGGGGGGUGGAAAGCUUUUUGUGGUUUUGGAUGGACUCGCGGCCUAUCAGCUUGUUGGUGAGGUAAUGGCUUACCAAGGCGACGACGGGUAGCCGGCCUGAGAGGGUGACCGGCCACACUGGGACUGAGACACGGCCCAGACUCCUACGGGAGGCAGCAGUGGGGAAUAUUGCACAAUGGGCGCAAGCCUGAUGCAGCGACGCCGCGUGAGGGAUGACGGCCUUCGGGUUGUAAACCUCUUUCAGUAGGGAAGAAGCGAAAGUGACGGUACCUGCAGAAGAAGCGCCGGCUAACUACGUGCCAGCAGCCGCGGUAAUACGUAGGGCGCAAGCGUUAUCCGGAAUUAUUGGGCGUAAAGAGCUCGUAGGCGGUUUGUCGCGUCUGCCGUGAAAGUCCGGGGCUCAACUCCGGAUCUGCGGUGGGUACGGGCAGACUAGAGUGAUGUAGGGGAGACUGGAAUUCCUGGUGUAGCGGUGAAAUGCGCAGAUAUCAGGAGGAACACCGAUGGCGAAGGCAGGUCUCUGGGCAUUAACUGAC
RNAcentral lists this ribosomal RNA (713 nucleotides) under Arthrobacter sp. SMCC G915. RNAcentral describes it as "bacterial SSU rRNA". It matches the Rfam family "Bacterial small subunit ribosomal RNA", at positions 19 to 744 of the family's 1533-position model. The record is from RNAcentral. Lineage: Bacteria; Bacillati; Actinomycetota; Actinomycetes; Micrococcales; Micrococcaceae.